This 497-nucleotide ribosomal RNA is filed under the name uncultured bacterium. RNAcentral describes it as "partial 16S ribosomal RNA". It matches the Rfam family "Bacterial small subunit ribosomal RNA", at positions 28 to 507 of the family's 1533-position model. The record is from RNAcentral.
GAUGAACGCUGGCGGCGUGCCUAAUACAUGCGAGUCGAGCGAACAGACGAGGAGCUUGCUCCUCUGACGUUAGCGGCGGACGGGUGAGUAACACGUGGAUAACCUACCUAUAAGACUGGGAUAACUUCGGGAAACCGGAGCUAAUACCGGAUAAUAUAUUGAACCGCAUGGUUCAAUAGUGAAAGACGGUUUUGCUGUCACUUAUAGAUGGAUCCGCGCCGCAUUAGCUAGUUGGUAAGGUAACGGCUUACCAAGGCAACGAUGCGUAGCCGACCUGAGAGGGUGAUCGGCCACACUGGAACUGAGACACGGUCCAGACUCCUACGGGAGGCAGCAGUAGGGAAUCUUCCGCAAUGGGCGAAAGCCUGACGGAGCAACGCCGCGUGAGUGAUGAAGGUCUUCGGAUCGUAAAACUCUGUUAUUAGGGAAGAACAAAUGUGUAAGUAACUAUGCACGUCUUGACGGUACCUAAUCAGAAGGCCACGGCUAACUACGUG